This is a long non-coding RNA of Zea mays, 342 nucleotides long. RefSeq lists it as uncharacterized. NCBI's taxonomy places the organism in Eukaryota, Viridiplantae, Streptophyta, Magnoliopsida, Poales, Poaceae. The transcript is spliced from 3 exons. The record is from RefSeq and is a predicted model, not a curated record.
UGUUGGAUCGUCUCUCGCUGGUCACAGAUAUGACAAAGCACAUACGUGUCCGGGCCUCAGGUGGAAGGUCCACUGCAUCCGAACUUGGGCAGUUCUCGCCUGUCUUUGUUUGGUUGUUGCGAGACUUUUAUCUGGAUUUGGCAGAAGACAACAGAAAAAUUACUCCACGAGAUUACCUAGAGCUAGCAUUGAGGCCUGUUCAAGGUGGAGGAAGGGACAUAUCUGCAAAGAAUGCGAUACGGAACUCCAUCCGUGCACUUUUUCCGGACAGGGAAUGUUUUACACUUGUGCAACCUGUGAACAAUGAGAAAGAUCUCCAACGUCUUGAUCAACUUCCUGUAA